Molecule: long non-coding RNA, 170 nt
Organism: Sander lucioperca (pikeperch)
Lineage: Eukaryota; Metazoa; Chordata; Actinopteri; Perciformes; Percidae
Exons: 3
Source: RefSeq, a predicted model, not a curated record
GGGGCCAGAGGGAAGGGACAAAGAGGGCAUGGUUUACAGGUAAUUUGCAUAUAAUUUGCAUACUGUGAGAGACUGCACCUCCACAGGCAUCCUCACAGAUUACCCAUAUCUGCAAUGGCUUCCACAAGUUUACCUGGAACCUCCAAAUCUCAAGGACCUUCCACUGGGAG